RNAcentral lists this ribosomal RNA (2070 nucleotides) under Triticum aestivum (bread wheat). RNAcentral's name for it is "partial small subunit ribosomal RNA". Lineage: Eukaryota; Viridiplantae; Streptophyta; Magnoliopsida; Poales; Poaceae. The record is from RNAcentral.
AUGACGGGGGUCCAGGAACAGCAAUACGAAGAGUUCUUUGGUGGGUUUUUCUUUGAUGAAGAUGCGUUAAGCAAGGAUAUAUCAUUGGAUGGGCUGGACAAGGAACUUGAGGAGCACAAGAACUAUGAUGUGCUAAUAAGUAUUCUAGCCAACGGUGAAAAACAGCGUGACAUGGCAACCAUGGUGGAAGGCAACCUAGGCCAUAUUGAACAGGAUCUGAUUCAAGAUUAUAUAAAAGAUAAUGACAGCCUAGUUCUGUUGCAUGAUCAGAUUCAUGACUGUGACAUUGUUUUAUCUCAAAUAGGAUCACUUCUUAGUGGAUUUCAGGUUCACAUUGGUUCUUUAAGCUCGGAACUUAGAAGUCUCCACGAGAAAUCCUUGGACUUGGGUGUGAGGCUGAAGAACCGGAAGUUGGCUGAGACAAAGCUUGCAGCAUUUGUCGAAGAAAUUGUCGCUCCUCCUGGUUUGGUGAAUGCUAUAAUUGAUGGAGAGGUAAAUGAUGAUUAUAUCAAAAGCCUAAACAUGUUGAGCAAAAAGUUGAGAUUUGCUCAAGUUGAUCCACUGCUUAAUGCAUCAAAAGCUCUGAAAGAUAUUAAGCAAGAACUGGAAAGGCUUCGGAAAAAGGCACUAUCAAAGGUGUCCGCCUAUGUCAUUGGGAUAUUCUCUUCCAUGAGAAAGCCUGGAACUAAUAUCCAGAUACUUCAACAAAAUUUGCUUCAGAAGUAUAGGUAUCUUGUUCUCUUUCUUAAAGAACAUGGAAUCGAGACAUAUAAUGAUGUCUGUGCAGCAUAUGUUGAUAAAAUGAACAAGGUGCUGAGUGAAGAUUUUCGUGUGUACUUAGAAUCAUUGGAGAGUUUGAAGCUAGAUAUUGGUGUAUCCACUGAUGUGAUUGGAUAUGACGCCAAUGUCCUAGACCUUAUACCAAGGGGGAGAGAGCAACUGAGAAAUCAUCGUUUCAUGUUUUCUUUAGGUGAACGAUCAAACAUUUUGAAGGAGAUUGAUCAGCCUGGCUUGGUACCUUGUAUAUCUGAAGCUAAUUCCUUGAAAUACCCAUAUGAGGUUAUUUUUAGGAGCCUACAAAAGCUUCUGAUGGACACUGCUAGCUCUGAGUAUAUUUUUAUCAAAGCAUUCUUUCGCGAAGAGUCGAUGUUUUAUCAAGUUUUUGAAGGACCUUUUGCAGUAAUUGAUGAAAACAUGAAGCUUACUCUUGCAAAUAGUCAUGAUGCAAUAUGCCUGAUGCUCAUGAUCUGCAUAACUAAAAAGCACCAGCUGGUUAUGUCCAACAGGCGGCUUCCUUGUCUAGAUACAUAUUUGGAUAAGGCUCUCAUCUAUCUCUGGCCACGUUUCAAGAUAGUGUUUGACAUGUAUAUUCAAAGCUUGUACCAAUGUGAUGCGAAAAUGUCAUGGGUGGAUGGGACCCAUCCACACCACAUUGUAAGGUGCUACAUGGAGUUCACAGCAUCUCUUAUUCAACUUAAUGCUGAAUGUGGAGAUGGUCAGCUUGAUAUGAGCUUGAAACGGUUGCGUUUAGCUGUUGAUGAUCUACUUGUUAGAUUUGCCGAAAAGUUUGCAACUCAGAAACUGCAACACCUGUUUCUUUUGAAUAAUUGUGACAUGGCCAUCUCUAUCCUGAAGGAAGCUGGUGAAGAAGCAAAAGAACUGCGGAGAUAUUUUGAAGAGAAGCUGGAAAGUAACCUGGUUUCAUUUGUGGAUGAAUUGCUCAUGGAGUAUUUUGGCGAUUUAAUUAAAUUUGUGAAGAACCACAUUUCCGAAGACCUAAUUUCUUACACUGAGUGCCCAAAAAUUGCUGAUGUUGAGCUGGUUGUGAAGAACUUCGCCGUGAAGUGGAGAACUGCUCUAGAGCUCAUGCACAAUGAAGUUGUAACUUGUUGCAGUAACUUUGUGUCUGGUAUGGCGAUUCUAAAAGCAGCAAUGGCUCAGUUGCUUAAUGACUACAACAGACUCUCAGAAUGUGUGAAGAUGAUCCCAGGUGGAUCUUCUUUGAACAGGAAUCUGGUUUCUAUCACCUCGAUUUCAUACGAAAUCAGGAAAUAUUCAAGAACACUCUAG